CCUUUCUCCACGUAUAAAAUAUUUUUGCAUAAGAUUUUUUGCAUCAUUCUGAUAUUGGUCAACUUCUUUCUAAGUUUAUAAGAUAAAGAUAAAGUUUGAUUCAAAAUUUAAUUCAAAUUAAAUUUGAAUUGUUGAUAAAGAUCAACCAAUAUUUAAAUUUGAAUUGAAACCACCUCUUUCUUAUCCCUAUCUUCCAUGGG
RNAcentral lists this long non-coding RNA (200 nucleotides) under Elaeis guineensis (African oil palm). RNAcentral describes it as "long non-coding RNA (EGUI_LNC021748)". The record is from RNAcentral. Lineage: Eukaryota; Viridiplantae; Streptophyta; Magnoliopsida; Arecales; Arecaceae.